RNAcentral lists this ribosomal RNA (273 nucleotides) under uncultured Staphylococcus sp. RNAcentral's name for it is "partial 16S ribosomal RNA". It matches the Rfam family "Bacterial small subunit ribosomal RNA", at positions 89 to 354 of the family's 1533-position model. The record is from RNAcentral. Lineage: Bacteria; Bacillati; Bacillota; Bacilli; Caryophanales; Staphylococcaceae.
ACGUUAGCGGCGGACGGGUGAGUAACACGUGGGUAACCUACCUAUAAGACUGGGAUAACUCCGGGAAACCGGGGCUAAUACCGGAUAAUACAUGAAACCGCAUGGUUUCAUGAUGAAAGACGGUUUUGCUGUCACUUAUAGAUGGACCCGCGGCGUAUUAGCUAGUUGGUAAGGUAACGGCUUACCAAGGCAACGAUACGUAGCCGACCUGAGAGGGUGAUCGGCCACACUGGAACUGAGACACGGUCCAGACUCCUACGGGAGGCAGCAGAU